UACGGGGGGGGCAAGCGUUGUUCGGAAUUACUGGGCGUAAAGGGCUCGUAGGCGGCCAACUAAGUCAGACGUGAAAUCCCUCGGCUUAACCGGGGAACUGCGUCUGAUACUGGAUGGCUUGAGUUUGGGAGAGGGAUGCGGAAUUCCAGGUGUAGCGGUGAAAUGUGUAGAUAUCUGGAGGAACACCGGUGGCGAAGGCGGGUCUCUGGGCCGAUACUGACGCUGAGGAGCGAAAGCGUGGGGAGCGAACAGG
RNAcentral lists this ribosomal RNA (253 nucleotides) under uncultured bacterium. RNAcentral describes it as "partial 16S ribosomal RNA". It matches the Rfam family "Bacterial small subunit ribosomal RNA", at positions 524 to 776 of the family's 1533-position model. The record is from RNAcentral.